AGAUUGUCGGCAUCGUAACAUGAG
RNAcentral lists this non-coding RNA (24 nucleotides) under Arabidopsis thaliana (thale cress). Lineage: Eukaryota; Viridiplantae; Streptophyta; Magnoliopsida; Brassicales; Brassicaceae. The record is from RNAcentral.